This 501-nucleotide ribosomal RNA is filed under the name uncultured bacterium. Its description in RNAcentral is "partial 16S ribosomal RNA". It matches the Rfam family "Bacterial small subunit ribosomal RNA", at positions 29 to 523 of the family's 1533-position model. The record is from RNAcentral.
AUUGAACGCUGGCGGCAUGCCUUACACAUGCAAGUCGAACGGCAGCACGGGUGCUUGCACCUGGUGGCGGGUGGCGAACGGGUGAGUAAUACAUCGGAACGUACCUUAUCGUGGGGGAUAACGCAGCGAAAGCUGUGCUAAUACCGCAUACGCCCUGAGGGGGAAAGCGGGGGAUCGCAAGACCUCGCGCGCUUAGAGCGGCCGAUGCCUGAUUAGCUUGUUGGUGGGGUAAAAGCCCACCAAGGCGACGAUCAGUAGCUGGUCUGAGAGGACGAUCAGCCACACUGGGACUGAGACACGGCCCAGACUCCUACGGGAGGCAGCAGUGGGGAAUUUUGGACAAUGGGGGCAACCCUGAUCCAGCAAUGCCGCGUGAGUGAAGAAGGCCUUCGGGUUGUAAAGCUCUUUUGUCAGGGAAGAAACACCGGCUCUAACACAGUCCGGGAAUGACGGUACCCGAAGAAUAAGCACCGGCUAACUACGUGCCAGCCGCCGCGGUAA